GGCACUGUGGCUCAGUGGGUUAAAGCCCUGGCCUGCAGCGCCAGAAUCCCAUUGGUUGCUGGUUCGAGUCCUGGCUGCUCCA
RNAcentral lists this transfer RNA (82 nucleotides) under Oryctolagus cuniculus (rabbit). It matches the Rfam family "tRNA". Rfam says of the family: Transfer RNA (tRNA) molecules are approximately 80 nucleotides in length. Lineage: Eukaryota; Metazoa; Chordata; Mammalia; Lagomorpha; Leporidae. The record is from Rfam by way of RNAcentral.